GGUUGUAUAGUGUACUGCUUAGCACUCUGGAGUCCAGAGUCUGGACUUCGAAUCCAGCGACUUGGGUUCGAAUCCCGCUAGAACGUCA
This 88-nucleotide transfer RNA is filed under the name Perkinsus olseni. RNAcentral describes it as "tRNA-Arg". Lineage: Eukaryota; Perkinsozoa; Perkinsida; Perkinsidae. The record is from RNAcentral.